UACAGAGGUCCCGAGCGUUGUUCGGAUUCACUGGGCGUAAAGGGUGCGUAGGCGGUCGGGUAAGUCUGAUGUGAAAUCUCACAGCUUAACUGUGAAACUGCAUUGGAUACUAUUCGGCUUGAGGUCUGGAGGGGGGACUGGAAUUCUCGGUGUAGCAGUGUAAUGCGUAGAUAUCAAGUGGAACACCAGUGGCGAAGGCGAGUCUCUGGACAUUUCCUGACGCUGAGGCACGAAAGCCGGGGGAGCAAACGGG
RNAcentral lists this ribosomal RNA (253 nucleotides) under uncultured bacterium. RNAcentral's name for it is "partial 16S ribosomal RNA". It matches the Rfam family "Bacterial small subunit ribosomal RNA", at positions 524 to 776 of the family's 1533-position model. The record is from RNAcentral.